Molecule: long non-coding RNA, 391 nt
Organism: Wasmannia auropunctata (little fire ant)
Lineage: Eukaryota; Metazoa; Arthropoda; Insecta; Hymenoptera; Formicidae
Exons: 2
Source: RefSeq, a predicted model, not a curated record
UAGUUCCAGUGAAGUUGGAGUAUCCACGUGUGCUUUACGAAACUUUAAUCUUCACGUGGAGAACGGGACUCUCACGAUCGAUAUAUUGACUGUAUGAUGCCGGUAUCACGAGCCUGUGGAAGCUGUAAAGGACAAUCUGAGAGAGACGAAGAUUACAAGUAGUACAGUGAAGUGAGAUUUCAAUGACGAAGGUUCAUUUUAUUCUUUACUUUAUUUUUUUUCUUUUUUCAAAUGUAAAUAAAUAUCGUUAUCAAAACUUUCUACGAAUGAUAAUUUUAAUAACAUACAAGUAUCGUUAACAAUGGUAUCUCCUGAUCGUAUUUACGCAAAGGCAGUUAUAAUAAUAUCUGUAUUGAAAAUAUUUGCAUUAAAUGUAACUCUUCUGCUGUUA